Molecule: ribosomal RNA, 548 nt
Filed under: uncultured bacterium
Lineage: Bacteria
Description: bacterial SSU rRNA
Rfam family: Bacterial small subunit ribosomal RNA
Source: RNAcentral
GGGGAAUUUUGGACAAUGGGCGCAAGCCUGAUCCAGCCAUGCCGCGUGUCUGAAGAAGGCCUUCGGGUUGUAAAGGACUUUUGUCAGGGAAGAAAAGGCUGUUGCUAAUAUCAGCGGCUGAUGACGGUACCUGAAGAAUAAGCACCGGCUAACUACGUGCCAGCAGCCGCGGUAAUACGUAGGGUGCGAGCGUUAAUCGGAAUUACUGGGCGUAAAGCGGGCGCGGACGGUUACUUAAGCAGGAUGUGAAAUCCCCGGGCUCAACCCGGGAACUGCGUUCUGAACUGGGUGACUCGAGUGUGUCAGAGGGAGGUAGAAUUCCACGUGUAGCAGUGAAAUGCGUAGAGAUGUGGAGGAAUACCGAUGGCGAAGGCAGCCUCCUGGGAUAACACUGACGUUCAUGCCCGAAAGCGUGGGUAGCAAACAGGAUUAGAUACCCUGGUAGUCCACGCCCUAAACGAUGUCAAUUAGCUGUUGGGCAACUUGAUUGCUUAGUAGCGUAGCUAACGCGUGAAAUUGACCGCCUGGGGAGUACGGUCGCAAGAUUA